GUGCCAUAAAAAAAUAAAAAUAAAAAAACAAAAAACAAUCUGGCUUUGAAAAGCUAUGAAAGGAGAUUCAUAACCAUCAAUGAUUGAUCACCUUACUGUUGCAACUCUUAAAUGAUAACUAACUUGGAGCAAUUGAAAGAUAAAGAUGAAGAAGUUAAAAAUAAAACGCAAAAACCUUCACUACAUGAAAGCAGGGAUAAGAAUCUGGGCAAACUUUAGAUUGUGGGCUGCUUAGUUAAGAGAACCUCAGGACUUUUUCCAGAACAUUAAACUGUCUGCCUGUUUAUAAAAACAAAAUCACUUAAAAAUGCACACACACUGAUAGAUAUAGAUACACAUAUAUUUAUAUACCCAAGACAAUAAUUCAGUGAAGGCUACUAACCUGUCUAUUAAAAAAAGGAUGCAUGCAUGAGAAAAGAAUUUGUGGUCAAAGGAUUGGAAGGAGUCACUUGUGUGUACUCUUCUGCCACAUUUGCCAACAAAGUGAAAACACUGACUCCCCUUAUAAAAGCCUCCUUAUUCUUCUUCUUUUGUAAGCCUGCUCUUCCAAUAUCCAACUGAGUUCUGGAAUGUGAACCCUGCUGUGUACCAUAAAAUCACAAGGACUAACAAAAUUACUUUGUUCCAUGCAUUGUUCAUUGCUUUGUAUAAUCUUUGAAUUUCUAGAUUCUAUCACAUAUUUUUCAGAAUUUUGUGUGCAAAUGAAUCAGCAUGAAC
RNAcentral lists this long non-coding RNA (717 nucleotides) under Physcomitrium patens. RNAcentral's name for it is "long non-coding RNA (PPAT_LNC011764)". The record is from RNAcentral. Lineage: Eukaryota; Viridiplantae; Streptophyta; Bryopsida; Funariales; Funariaceae.